Molecule: ribosomal RNA, 460 nt
Filed under: uncultured bacterium
Lineage: Bacteria
Description: partial 16S ribosomal RNA
Rfam family: Bacterial small subunit ribosomal RNA
Source: RNAcentral
ACUACGGGAGGCAGCAGUGAGGAAGAUUGGUCAAUGGGCGAGAGCCUGAACCAGCCAAGUAGCGUGAAGGAGGACGGCCCUACGGGUUGUAAAAUUCUGUUAUAAAGGAAUAAAGUGAGGCACGUGUGCCUUUUUGUAUGUACUUUAUGAAUAAGGAUCGGCUAACUCCGUGCCAGCAGCCGCGGUAAUACGGAGGAUCCGAGCGUUAUCCGGAUUUAUUGGGUUUAAAGGGAGCGUAGAUGGGUUGUUAAGUCAGUUGUGAAAGUUUGCGGCUCAACCGUAAAAUUGCACUUGAUACUGGCAGCCUUGAGUACAGUUGAGGUAGGCGGACUUCGUGGUGUAGCGGUGAAAUGCUUAGAUAUCACGAAGAACUCCGAUUGCGAAGGCAGCUUACUAGACUGCCACUGACAUUGAUGCUCGAAAGUGUGGGUAUCAAACAGGAUUAGAUACCCUGGUAGUC